CACCCAGGGCAAUGGGCAAAGAAACACUUUGGUGGUGGUGUUCUUCUUAUACCAAUCGGGGCAGAGAAGAUGGCAACCUUUUGCUCAUCUUAGCUUGAUGCCUGGUUUGGUGGCCAAAGCUGUUUUAUGCCCAGGACACAUAA
Meriones unguiculatus (Mongolian gerbil) is the source of this 143-nucleotide small nucleolar RNA. RefSeq annotates it as small nucleolar RNA SNORA48. The record is from RefSeq and is a predicted model, not a curated record. NCBI's taxonomy places the organism in Eukaryota, Metazoa, Chordata, Mammalia, Rodentia, Muridae. The transcript has a single exon.